This 423-nucleotide unclassified non-coding RNA is filed under the name soil metagenome. RNAcentral's name for it is "partial contains 5.8S ribosomal RNA, internal transcribed spacer 2, and large subunit ribosomal RNA". The stretch from base 1 to 120 matches the Rfam family "5.8S ribosomal RNA", at positions 35 to 154 of the family's 154-position model. The record is from RNAcentral.
GAUGAAGAACGCAGCGAAAUGCGAUAAGUAAUGUGAAUUGCAGAAUUCAGUGAAUCAUCGAAUCUUUGAACGCACCUUGCGCUCCCUGGUAUUCCGGGGAGCACGCCUGUUCGAGUGUCGCGAAAUUCUUCAAGCCUUGGAUGGAUUUUUUUUUGUCUGUCCUUGGGCUUGGUUGUUGGGCUCUGCCGUGUCCUUCAUUGGGACGGCUGGCCUUAAAAGCAUUAGCCGAUCCUCUUGUGGUACUGGUUCUACUCAGCGUGAUAACAAUCUGAUCGUUGAGGACAUCUUCUGGAUGGCCAGUCAUCAUUUGGGUUGCUUCUAAACCGGUUUCGCAGAUUGCUCAAUCUGUGUGCCACUUUUCAGCUUUGACCUCGAAUCAGGUGGGACUACCCGCUGAACUUAAGCAUAUCAAUAAGCGGAGGA